AUUGAACGCUGGCGGCAGGCCUAACACAUGCAAGUCGGACGGUAGCACAGAGAGCUUGCUCUCGGGUGACGAGUGGCGGACGGGUGAGUAAUGUCUGGGAAACUGCCCGAUGGAGGGGGAUAACUACUGGAAACGGUAGCUAAUACCGCAUAACGUCUUCGGACCAAAGUGGGGGACCUUCGGGCCUCACACCAUCGGAUGUGCCCAGAUGGGAUUAGCUAGUAGGUGGGGUAAUGGCUCACCUAGGCGACGAUCCCUAGCUGGUCUGAGAGGAUGACCAGCAACACUGGAACUGGAACACGGUCCAGACUCCUACGGGAGGCAGCAGUGGGGAAUAUUGACCAAUGGGCGCAAGCCUGAUGCAGCCAUGCCGCGUGUAUGAAGAAGGCCUUCGGGUUGUAAAGUACUUUCAGCGGGGAGGAAGGCGAUGGAGUUAAUAGCUUCAUCGAUUGACGUUACCCGCAGAAGAAGCACCGGCUAACUCCGUGCCAGCCGCCGCCGUAA
This 504-nucleotide ribosomal RNA is filed under the name uncultured bacterium. RNAcentral describes it as "partial 16S ribosomal RNA". It matches the Rfam family "Bacterial small subunit ribosomal RNA", at positions 30 to 523 of the family's 1533-position model. The record is from RNAcentral.